GGGGGGGGGAAGGGAUGAAGGAGUUGGGUGUCUCCGCUCCCGGAGGGAGGCGUCGCCAUAACGCCCGCCGGGGCUGCGGUGGGCUUCCAGCAUGGGGAGCCCCCAGCACCCCGAUCCCUUGGGACACGGGCUGCGCCGGGCCCUGGCUGAGCGUCCCCGAAAGAAGCAGCGGCCGCCCCUCCCUGAGCGAGGGGAGGUGAGGGGGUCCCGGCCGGGAUUUUCUAGGAACAGGGGUUCCCCUAAAUCUGUGCAGUGCUUGGUAGGACAUCAAACACUACGUCUGGUCCUGUGUCUGUCUACACAGAAAUGCAGCUGUUCAGGUGACAGUUUAUUCCUCCUUUCUGAAACGCUGCAAGCCUCCCAAGACGCUUCCCUCCAUCAUCAAGGUAACAGUUUGCUCAUGCUUGAAUAUUCUGCUGAGUAGGGAAAGCAAAAUGGAUGAAGUUCUGCAAUCCUCAGUAAUCUGGCUGUCAUGUUAUUAGAAGUUGUGUGUUUGUUCUUAAAGAGCAUGUGAAACCAAUAAAAUAUUAUGGAAU
RNAcentral lists this long non-coding RNA (536 nucleotides) under Chloebia gouldiae (Gouldian finch). RNAcentral's name for it is "Erythrura gouldiae (Gouldian finch) lncRNA (ENSEGOG00005005866.1)". Lineage: Eukaryota; Metazoa; Chordata; Aves; Passeriformes; Passeridae. The record is from RNAcentral.